Molecule: long non-coding RNA, 269 nt
Organism: Culex pipiens pallens (northern house mosquito)
Lineage: Eukaryota; Metazoa; Arthropoda; Insecta; Diptera; Culicidae
Exons: 2
Source: RefSeq, a predicted model, not a curated record
AAUUGACUGCUCAGUCACAUCAGUUUGUUGAUUUACUUGACUAUGGAACAUUCAGUUUGUGACCUUGUGGAAUCAUUCCGCCAGGACAGACCCAAGGUAUUGGCACUGGAAAAGUUACGAACAGUUAAUCCCAUGAUGUUUAACAAUGCCGAACGACACUGUAGACUGGUGCUGUUUCUCGAAAUGAUCCUGUUGGUGCUGUUUGUCUUCUGGGUCACACGAAACAGGGUGUGAAUUAAACACAUUUACUUAUGUAAUUUUUCAUUUUA